UCAUUUGCUUACAGAAUCUUGGCAACUCCAGGAAAUUCAGUGAAACUCUCAAGGUGCUGAAGAUUACCGAAAAAGGAUUGUCAUCAGAGCCAUCACACAGGUAGUCAUUGUUCCUGAUGCUCCCCUGACUGGAAUUGCUCCUGAUGAAAUGCAAGCUCGUCCACCCUGUGUGACUAAAGGUAUUAAAAGCUAUGAAGAAUAUGGACAGGGUAUGUAUGUACAGGCAUACCUUGGAGAUACUUCUUGAAGUUUUGGGCCAAACCACUGCAAUAAAGUGCAUGUCGCAAUAAGUGGCCUAUGAAAACAAACUGAAAGUAGCUAAUGAAGAUACUCAGAGGCCAGUUGAGCUGAAAGUCUUCCCAAGAAAGCAGCCCUAUAUUCCAAAUGCUUUAGCUAUGUCCUCUAUCACCAAGGUUUGGAUUUAGAACGUCUUUUCUGGGGCCGGCCUGGUGGUGCAGCGGUUAAGUGCACACGUCCACUUCGGAAGCCUGAGGUACGCCGGCUGGGAUCCCGGGUGCGGACAUGGCACCGCUUGGCAAAAGCCAUGCAGUGAUGACCAAGGACAUGAACCAAAUGCAACAUACACAAAAACAAAUAAUUAAGCAAUGAAGUUUAUGAGAAAAGAAGGUUGAAGAACGAUACACCUUUUCUACCACAGCAAUGCUAUUAUACAUAAAUCCUAAUGAUUUACCACUGACCCAAUUUAUUAUCUAGCAUUAGAACCAUCUUUCUUUUCAAAAGUAUAACAUGCUCUAUGAUGUGUCUUAUGUUACUUCCUCCUAGGUCUUAAUUUGUCUGAUUGGCCUAUUGGCACAUCUACCGAUCAAAAUCUAUAGUUUUUAUUUCAGUUAAAGGUACUACUGAGGUUCAGGUUCUCACAGAAAAUGAAUCUGUACCUACACAGUCAUGCUGCAGUGGCAGACGACAGCUCCCUCUACUGACCAACAGUGUAGAGGAAAGCACGCAUAUCUGAUCCUACCUCUAAAAAUAUUAAGAACUUACUUAUCUUGUGGGUCUAUAAGUGGGAUGAUAUCUAGACAAAUACACACAUAUAUGCAUGCAUACAAACAUACACAAAAACACAGGUUAUCCACAUUUUCGCUCCUGCCCCAAUAUACAUAAGCCUGACAAAUGCUGAGGAUAGGCAAGGAGAGUUGAUACAAUUGAAAGGCAUCCUCUUUUUGUAUAUAGGAGCACAAUCCGGGUAAACUACUGUGAGUAUUUAAUAACAACCACAUAAAUCUGCAUCUCAGUUACCACGACUAGAUUUUAAUUUCAUCCAGGUAUUAAGAACUCAAGAAUCAAUAAUGUCUGCAUUAAGUUGAAGUGCAACUAAGUUUUUUUCAUAAUAUUCAUUAGUUUCUAACUGUUUCAGACUCUUUUUAAUUUAUUGAACUAAUCAACUAAUAUUUUUCAGUUAUCUACUCUGGGCCAGGCAAGAUGCUAAGUGUUGGGGAUGCAGCAAUGAGCCAACGAAGCAAAAUCUCUUCCUUCACAGAGAUUAUAUUCUAGUGGGGAGAAAUAAAUGUUCAUGUUAAUUCAUACUCAGUUUCUAAAGUCUUCCAUGUAUAAAAACAUUUCAAAUAAGUAAAAGUGAGUUUUAAUCAUUCCCUCAAUGAAAUUUGGAAAUGUGAGGGUUUU
Equus caballus (horse) is the source of this 1641-nucleotide long non-coding RNA. RefSeq lists it as uncharacterized. The record is from RefSeq and is a predicted model, not a curated record. Lineage: Eukaryota; Metazoa; Chordata; Mammalia; Perissodactyla; Equidae.